GUUAGGAAUAUUGGACAAUGGGCGCAAGCCUGAUCCAGCCAUGCCGCGUGAGUGAUGAAGGCCUUCGGGUUGUAAAGCUCUUUAGUCCACGAAUAUAAUGACUGUAGUGGAAGAAUAAGCCCCGGCUAACUUCGUGCCAGCAGCCGCGGUAAUACGAAGGGGGCGAGCGUUAUUCGGAAUCACUGGGCGUAAAGCGUGCGUAGGCUGUUUUGUAAGUCAGAAGUGAAAGCCCAGGGCUUAACCCUGGAAUUGCUUUUGAAACUACAAGACUCGAAUUCGGGAGAGGAUAGCGGAAUUGUCAGUGUAGCAGUGAAAUGCGUAGAUAUUGACGGGAACACCAGUGGCGCAAGCGGCUAUCUGGACCGAUAUUGACGCUGAGGCACGAAAGCGUGGGGAGCAAACAGGAUUAGAAACCCUUGUAGUCC
Molecule: ribosomal RNA, 425 nt
Filed under: uncultured bacterium
Lineage: Bacteria
Description: partial 16S ribosomal RNA
Rfam family: Bacterial small subunit ribosomal RNA
Source: RNAcentral